CUGGUUUGUAGUGCGCAGCUAAUGCUACCGUAGCUUUAACUGGAAGACCCUGCGCACUGUGACGUGGCUGCUGAACUGUUGGGAGUUUGGUCGUGUCUUUGGACGAGGGGGAGAGAUCGUUAAAACGGCAGCAGUCUCCAAUGGGUCUCCUGCCAGUGAGCCUUUGGAUCUCAAUGGGAACUAUGGACCGGACACCCCCAUUGUGACAAUCAGCCCCCCAAACCAAGUCUAUUUUUUGUGAGCAGACAUCACUAUGUCCUGCUCUGCACAGUCCAGUCCUCCUGCUGUCUACCAAUGGGUAUUUAAUAGAGUCUAUUAUAACGGAUCAGGAUCAGAGCUAUCCAUUAAACUCCUUCAGCUGGACAACGCUGGAAACUAUACCUGCAUGGCUUAUAACAAUAUAACCCGCAGAUACGCUGCGUUCACACAAGAGCUCUCUGUUGUGGCACCGAUAACUACAGUGGCUGUAUCUCCCAGCAGAGCACAGCCAAUAGAAAACAAGACAUUCAGUCUGAGCUGUGAAGUGUCUGGGACUGCUGACUCGUGGCGCUGGCUGAAAGACGAUCAGCCUCUUUCCACUAAUGAGAGGAUAACAUUGUCUGGAGAGAGCAGCACUGUCUCCUUCAACCCAGUCCUGCAGUCUGAUAACGGCACAUAUCAGUGUGUAGCUUCUGACCCUAUAAGUGGAAUGGUCAGUCCAGGAUACACACUGG
Molecule: long non-coding RNA, 713 nt
Organism: Acipenser ruthenus (sterlet)
Lineage: Eukaryota; Metazoa; Chordata; Actinopteri; Acipenseriformes; Acipenseridae
Exons: 4
Source: RefSeq, a predicted model, not a curated record